This 497-nucleotide ribosomal RNA is filed under the name uncultured bacterium. Its description in RNAcentral is "partial 16S ribosomal RNA". It matches the Rfam family "Bacterial small subunit ribosomal RNA", at positions 28 to 507 of the family's 1533-position model. The record is from RNAcentral.
GACGAACGCUGGCGGCGUGCCUAAUACAUGCAAGUUGAGCGAUGAAGCUUGGUGCUUGCACCAAUUUGAAGAGCAGCGAACGGGUGAGUAACGCGUGGGGAAUCUGCCUUUGAGCGGGGGACAACAUUUGGAAACGAAUGCUAAUACCGCAUAGCAACUUUAAACAUAAGUUUUAAGUUUGAAAGAUGCAAUUGCAUCACUCAAAGAUGAUCCCGCGUUGUAUUAGCUAGUUGGUGAGGUAAAGGCUCACCAAGGCGAUGAUACAUAGCCGACCUGAGAGGGUGAUCGGCCACAUUGGGACUGAGACACGGCCCAAACUCCUACGGGAGGCAGCAGUAGGGAAUCUUCGGCAAUGGACGAAAGUCUGACCGAGCAACGCCGCGUGAGUGAAGAAGGUUUUCGGAUCGUAAAACUCUGUUGGUAGAGAAGAACGUUGGUGAGAGUGGAAAGCUCAUCAAGUGACGGUAACUACCCAGAAAGGGACGGCUAACUACGUG